AACGAUCAUACCAUGCUGAAUAUACCGGUUCUCGUUAGAUCACCGAAGUCAAGCAUCAUUGGGCGCGGUCAGUACUUGGGUGGGUGACCACCUGGGAACACCGCGUGCCGUU
RNAcentral lists this ribosomal RNA (112 nucleotides) under Caerostris darwini. The record is from RNAcentral. Lineage: Eukaryota; Metazoa; Arthropoda; Arachnida; Araneae; Araneidae.